RNAcentral lists this ribosomal RNA (253 nucleotides) under uncultured bacterium. Its description in RNAcentral is "partial 16S ribosomal RNA". It matches the Rfam family "Bacterial small subunit ribosomal RNA", at positions 524 to 776 of the family's 1533-position model. The record is from RNAcentral.
UACGUAGGUGACAAGCGUUGUCCGGAUUUAUUGGGUUUAAAGGGUGCGUAGGCGGCUUUGUAAGUCAGUGGUGAAAUAUGGCAGCUCAACUGUCAAGGUGCCAUUGAUACUGCGGAGCUUGAGUACAGAUGAGGUAGGCGGAAUUGACGGUGUAGCGGUGAAAUGCUUAGAUAUCGUCAAGAACACCUAUAGCGAAGGCAGCUUACUAGGCUGUAACUGACGCUGAGGCACGAAAGUGUGGGGAUCAAACAGG